This is a non-coding RNA of Oreochromis aureus, 475 nucleotides long. The record is from the annotation of a RefSeq genome assembly. NCBI's taxonomy places the organism in Eukaryota, Metazoa, Chordata, Actinopteri, Cichliformes, Cichlidae.
UGUAGCUCACAGUUACUCUACACUGCAGAUAUGACGCCUCUGUUCAUCUCAGUGCUGCUGGCUGCUAUGUGCCUCGAAUGCAGAGCACAAAAAGACAACGUGCUGCAAGCAAAAGGAGAAGAGACUGCUGCUGCAGGAGGCACAGUAACACUUGGAUGUCAGUAUGAGAGCAGUGGUUUAACAGGGACUUCUCUCUUCUGGUACAAACAGGAUGAAAACAACAGCCCCAAAUUCAUCCUGAGUCGUGUUAGUGGGGACCAAGGGGAGACAGCAGACGAGUUCAAGGAGAGAUUUUCAUCCACACUGGAUUCCAGCAUCAGAUCAGUUCCUCUGAAGAUCCAGAAGCUUCAGCUGUCUGACUCUGCUGUGUACUACUGUGCUCUGCAGCCCACAGUGACAGGAAACACCAAAACUCUGUACAAAAACCUUUGGAGCAAAGACAACAGAAUACUCCACAACAUCCACUAGAGGGAGC